This 435-nucleotide ribosomal RNA is filed under the name uncultured bacterium. Its description in RNAcentral is "bacterial SSU rRNA". It matches the Rfam family "Bacterial small subunit ribosomal RNA", at positions 27 to 507 of the family's 1533-position model. The record is from RNAcentral.
GAACGAACGCUGGCGGCAGGCCUAACACAUGCAAGUCGAACGCCGUAGCAAUACGGAGUGGCAGACGGGUGAGUAACACGUGGGAACGUACCUUUCGGUUCGGAAUAACUCAGGGAAACUUGAGCUAAUACCGGAUACGUGCGAGAGCAGAAAGAUUUAUCGCCGAAAGAUCGGCCCGCGUCCGAUUAGCUUGUUGGUGAGGUAAUGGCUCACCAAGGCGACGAUCGGUAGCUGGUCUGAGAGGAUGAUCAGCCACACUGGGACUGAGACACGGCCCAGACUCCUACGGGAGGCAGCAGUGGGGAAUAUUGGACAAUGGGCGAAAGCCCUGAUCCAGCCAUGCCGCGUGAGUGAUGAAGGCCUUAGGGUUGUAAAGCUCUUUUGUCCGGGAAGAUAAUGACGGUACCGGAAGAAUAAGCCCCGGCUAACUUCGUG